This is a long non-coding RNA of Leptinotarsa decemlineata (Colorado potato beetle), 895 nucleotides long. The record is from RefSeq and is a predicted model, not a curated record. NCBI's taxonomy places the organism in Eukaryota, Metazoa, Arthropoda, Insecta, Coleoptera, Chrysomelidae.
CGGCCAAUAUUGCCAAGUCACGCUCAUUUUUAGCAGCAGAUUUUGUAUCGGGAAAAUAUUACUUAGAUUGAAUUAAAAACCAGCAGAAAAUUUUUCUUUAUUUCACAGUCAUUUAAUGAUUAGGUACUAUGGAAAGUAAUGAGUCUUCAUGUAGAGUAGAUUGAUUCGUCAUAUUUCGUAGUCUAAUUUCAGUACAACUUCGUUGUGAAAAGUUCAAUGUAAAUAAUUUGUGAUAGAUAUUGUUCACUUGGCUACCAUUAUGACAUAAGAGUUCUUAGUAUAGAGCAAUCCAAACCACGUGACUGUGACCCAAUAUGGCGGCGUAGGGCAAACAAUCUAAUUAUUGUCAUAAGAGUAUUAUUGGUUGUGGUGUUGUUCGCUAUUGUGGAGUGUUUUUUCACAUUUUUGGAGCUUUUUGUGGUGUUUAAAUUCAAUCAAAAUGGAAAGUGAAUACUUGAAAUCACUAUUGCUGAACAGCAGAGACGUUGCUAAACGAUAUAUAAUGAACUUGAGAUUGGUCAAUGGUUUAGACCCUCUCUCAUUGAAUGUUUCUAGUUUGGAUUAUUCAAUGGAUGUUGUUACAUAACUGGUGUUACUAGUUACAUAUGUGGAUAUUGCUUCAUAUUUGGUUUUUAUACCCACAGUUUUUAUUUGCAUGUGCAGAUGGAGGCAUAUAAAGGUUUGGAAUUGUAUAUAUAUUUUGAAUCUGGCUUCGUUUUGAAGGUGGGAACAAAGAUUGAUAUCAAUUUAUACAUUUCAGUUGGACAGGUCAAGCAUUCACAGAAAGCAAAUGCGAAACCUUUAGAUGUUUGGUGCAUCAUAGCAAAAGAUGGAAGCGUAUGUACAGCUCACUGUACUUUUAUGGCCGGAGACAGUGAAGUUUGUAGUCACGUUG